GGUUAAGCGACUAAGCGUACACGGUGGAUGCCCUGGCAGUCAGAGGCGAUGAAGGACGUGCUAAUCUGCGAUAAGCGCCGGUAAGGUGAUAUGAACCGUUAUAACCGGCGAUUUCCGAAUGGGGAAACCCAGUGUGAUUCGUCACACUAUCAUUAACUGAAUCCAUAGGUUAAUGAGGCGAACCGGGGGAACUGAAACAUCUAAGUACCCCGAGGAAAAGAAAUCAACCGAGAUUCCCCCAGUAGCGGCGAGCGAACGGGGAGGAGCCCAGAGCCUGAAUCAGCAUGUGUGUUAGUGGAAGCGUCUGGAAAGGCGCGCGAUACAGGGUGACAGCCCCGUACACAAAAGCGCAUGUGCUGUGAGCUCGAUGAGUAGGGCGGGACACGUGGUAUCCUGUCUGAAUAUGGGGGGACCAUCCUCCAAGGCUAAAUACUCCUGACUGACCGAUAGUGAACCAGUACCGUGAGGGAAAGGCGAAAAGAACCCCGGCGAGGGGAGUGAAAAAGAACCUGAAACCGUGUACGUACAAGCAGUGGGAGCCCCACCACUAAGCCAGUGGUGAACUCUACAUACGCAUCCUUUGCUGAGGAUACGGUUAACGGAGCGAAAGCGACGUUCAACCUCAAAAGAAGCAGAGGGGGCUUAGUGGUGGGGUGACUGCGUACCUUUUGUAUAAUGGGUCAGCGACUUAUAUUCUGUAGCAAGGUUAACCGUAUAGGGGAGCCGUAGGGAAACCGAGUCUUAACCGGGCGUUAAGUUGCAGGGUAUAGACCCGAAACCCGGUGAUCUAGCCAUGGGCAGGUUGAAGGUUGGGUAACACUAACUGGAGGACCGAACCGACUAAUGUUGAAAAAUUAGCGGAUGACCUGUGGCUGGGGGUGAAAGGCCAAUCAAACCGGGAGAUAGCUGGUUCUCCCCGAAAGCUAUUUAGGUAGCGCCUCGUGAAUUCAUCUCCGGGGGUAGAGCACUGUUUCGGCUAGGGGGCCAUCCCGGCUUACCAACCCGAUGCAAACUGCGAAUACCGGAGAAUGUUAUCACGGGAGACACACGGCGGGUGCUAACGUCCGUCGUGAAGAGGGAAACAACCCAGACCGCCAGCUAAGGUCCCAAAGUCAUGGUUAAGUGGGAAACGAUGUGGGAAGGCCCAGACAGCCAGGAUGUUGGCUUAGAAGCAGCCAUCAUUUAAAGAAAGCGUAAUAGCUCACUGGUCGAGUCGGCCUGCGCGGAAGAUGUAACGGGGCUAAACCAUGCACCGAAGCUGCGGCAGCGACACUGUGUGUUGUUGGGUAGGGGAGCGUUCUGUAAGCCUGUGAAGGUGUGUCGUGAGGCAUGCUGGAGGUAUCAGAAGUGCGAAUGCUGACAUAAGUAACGAUAAAGCGGGUGAAAAGCCCGCUCGCCGGAAGACCAAGGGUUCCUGUCCAACGUUAAUCGGGGCAGGGUGAGUCGACCCCUAAGGCGAGGCCGAAAGGCGUAGUCGAUGGGAAACGGGUUAAUAUUCCCGUACUUGGUGUUACUGCGAAGGGGGGACGGAGAAGGCUAUGUUGGCCGGGCGACGGUUGUCCCGGUUUAAGCGUGUAGGUGUGUGUUCCAGGUAAAUCCGGUUCACUUUAACACUGAGGCGUGACGACGAGGCACUACGGUGCUGAAGCAACAAAUGCCCUGCUUCCAGGAAAAGCCUCUAAGCAUCAGGUAACAUCAAAUCGUACCCCAAACCGACACAGGUGGUCAGGUAGAGAAUACCAAGGCGCUUGAGAGAACUCGGGUGAAGGAACUAGGCAAAAUGGUGCCGUAACUUCGGGAGAAGGCACGCUGACACGUAGGUGAAGUGAUUUACUCAUGGAGCUGAAGUCAGUCGAAGAUACCAGCUGGCUGCAACUGUUUAUUAAAAACACAGCACUGUGCAAACACGAAAGUGGACGUAUACGGUGUGACGCCUGCCCGGUGCCGGAAGGUUAAUUGAUGGGGUCAGCGCAAGCGAAGCUCCUGAUCGAAGCCCCGGUAAACGGCGGCCGUAACUAUAACGGUCCUAAGGUAGCGAAAUUCCUUGUCGGGUAAGUUCCGACCUGCACGAAUGGCGUAAUGAUGGCCAGGCUGUCUCCACCCGAGACUCAGUGAAAUUGAACUCGCUGUGAAGAUGCAGUGUACCCGCGGCAAGACGGAAAGACCCCGUGAACCUUUACUAUAGCUUGACACUGAACAUUGAGCCUUGAUGUGUAGGAUAGGUGGGAGGCUUUGAAGUGUGGACGCCAGUCUGCAUGGAGCCGACCUUGAAAUACCACCCUUUAAUGUUUGAUGUUCUAACGUGGACCCGUAAUCCGGGUUGCGGACAGUGUCUGGUGGGUAGUUUGACUGGGGCGGUCUCCUCCUAAAGAGUAACGGAGGAGCACGAAGGUUGGCUAAUCCUGGUCGGACAUCAGGAGGUUAGUGCAAUGGCAUAAGCCAGCUUGACUGCGAGCGUGACGGCGCGAGCAGGUGCGAAAGCAGGUCAUAGUGAUCCGGUGGUUCUGAAUGGAAGGGCCAUCGCUCAACGGAUAAAAGGUACUCCGGGGAUAACAGGCUGAUACCGCCCAAGAGUUCAUAUCGACGGCGGUGUUUGGCACCUCGAUGUCGGCUCAUCACAUCCUGGGGCUGAAGUAGGUCCCAAGGGUAUGGCUGUUCGCCAUUUAAAGUGGUACGCGAGCUGGGUUUAGAACGUCGUGAGACAGUUCGGUCCCUAUCUGCCGUGGGCGCUGGAGAACUGAGGGGGGCUGCUCCUAGUACGAGAGGACCGGAGUGGACGCAUCACUGGUGUUCGGGUUGUCAUGCCAAUGGCACUGCCCGGUAGCUAAAUGCGGAAGAGAUAAGUGCUGAAAGCAUCUAAGCACGAAACUUGCCCCGAGAUGAGUUCUCCCUGAGACUUUAGGUCUCCUGAAGGAACGUUGAAGACGACGACGUUGAUAGGCCGGGUGUGUAAGCGCAGCGAUGCGUUGAGCUAACCGGUACUAAUGAACCGUGAGGCUUAACCUU
Molecule: ribosomal RNA, 3006 nt
Filed under: Salmonella enterica subsp. enterica serovar Senftenberg
Lineage: Bacteria; Pseudomonadati; Pseudomonadota; Gammaproteobacteria; Enterobacterales; Enterobacteriaceae
Description: 23S ribosomal RNA
Rfam family: Bacterial large subunit ribosomal RNA
Source: RNAcentral